AACGCUAGCUACAGGCUUAACACAUGCAAGUCGAGGGGCAGCGAGGGAGUGCUUGCACUUCUGUCGGCGACCGGCGCACGGGUGAGUAACACGUAUGCAACCUGCCCUUGUCAGGGGGAUAAGCGAGGGAAACCUCGUCUAAUACCGCAUAUAUGGUUUUGAGGCAUCUCUUAAUCAGGAAAGAAUUAUCGGACAAGGAUGGGCAUGCGGGACAUUAGGUAGUUGGGGGUGUAACGGACCACCAAGCCGACGAUGUCUAGGGGUUCUGAGAGGAAGGUCCCCCACACUGGUACUGAGACACGGACCAGACUCCUACGGGAGGCAGCAGUGAGGAAUAUUGGUCAAUGGGCGAGAGCCUGAACCAGCCAAGUCGCGUGAGGGAAGACGGUACUAAGUAUUGUAAACCUCUUUUGUCAGGGAACAAAGAGACCACGUGUGGUAAGAUGAGUGUACCUGAAGAAAAAGCAUCGGCUAACUCCGUGCCAGCAGCCGCGGUAAUACGGAGGAUGCGAGCGUUAUCCGGAUUUAUUGGGUUUAAAGGGUGCGUAGGUGGCAUAUCAAGUCAGCGGUUAAAUGUCGGGGCUCAACCUCGGCCUGCCGUUGAAACUGAUGAGCUAGAGAGGAUGAGAAGUAUGCGGAAUGCGUGGUGUAGCGGUGAAAUGCAUAGAUAUCACGAAGAACUCCGAUUG
Molecule: ribosomal RNA, 689 nt
Filed under: uncultured bacterium
Lineage: Bacteria
Description: bacterial SSU rRNA
Rfam family: Bacterial small subunit ribosomal RNA
Source: RNAcentral